This 358-nucleotide ribosomal RNA is filed under the name uncultured organism. RNAcentral's name for it is "bacterial SSU rRNA". It matches the Rfam family "Bacterial small subunit ribosomal RNA", at positions 45 to 433 of the family's 1533-position model. The record is from RNAcentral.
GGCCUAACACAUGCAAGUCGAGCGCCCCGCAAGGGGAGCGGCGGACGGGUUAGUAACGCGUGGGAACCUACCCUUUUCUACGGAAUAGCCUCGGGAAACUGAGAGUAAUACCGUAUACGCCCUUUGGGGGAAAGAUUUAUCGGAGAAGGAUGGGCCCGCGUCUGAUUAGAUAGUUGGUGGGGUAAUGGCCUACCAAGUCUACGAUCAGUAGCUGGUUUGAGAGGAUGAUCAGCAACACUGGGACUGAGACACGGCCCAGACUCCUACGGGAGGCAGCAGUGGGGAAUCUUAGACAAUGGGCGCAAGCCUGAUCUAGCCAUGCCGCGUGAGUGACGAAGGCCUUAGGGUCGUAAAGCUC